This 427-nucleotide ribosomal RNA is filed under the name uncultured Halomonas sp. Its description in RNAcentral is "bacterial SSU rRNA". It matches the Rfam family "Bacterial small subunit ribosomal RNA", at positions 353 to 772 of the family's 1533-position model. The record is from RNAcentral. Lineage: Bacteria; Pseudomonadati; Pseudomonadota; Gammaproteobacteria; Oceanospirillales; Halomonadaceae.
AGUGGGGAAUAUUGGACAAUGGGGGCAACCCUGAUCCAGCCAUGCCGCGUGUGUGAAGAAGGCCCUCGGGUUGUAAAGCACUUUCAGCGAGGAAGAACGCCUGGUGGUUAAUACCCAUCAGGAAAGACAUCACUCGCAGAAGAAGCACCGGCUAACUCCGUGCCAGCAGCCGCGGUAAUACGGAGGGUGCAAGCGUUAAUCGGAAUUACUGGGCGUAAAGCGCGCGUAGGUGGCUUGAUAAGCCGGUUGUGAAAGCCCCGGGCUCAACCUGGGAACGGCAUCCGGAACUGUCAGGCUAGAGUGCAGGAGAGGAAGGUAGAAUUCCCGGUGUAGCGGUGAAAUGCGUAGAGAUCGGGAGGAAUACCAGUGGCGAAGGCGGCCUUCUGGACUGACACUGACACUGAGGUGCGAAAGCGUGGGUAGCAAA